This is a small nuclear RNA of Molossus molossus (Pallas's mastiff bat), 165 nucleotides long. RefSeq annotates it as U1 spliceosomal RNA. NCBI's taxonomy places the organism in Eukaryota, Metazoa, Chordata, Mammalia, Chiroptera, Molossidae. The transcript has a single exon. The record is from RefSeq and is a predicted model, not a curated record.
AUACUUACCUGGCAGGGGAGAUGCCAUGAUGAUGAAGGUGGUUUUCCCUGGGCGAGGCUGAUCCAUCGCACCCCGGGUGUGCCGACCCCUGGCGAUGUCUCCAAAUGUGGGAAACUCGACCGCACAAUUUGGGAUAGUGGGGGACUAUGUUUGCGCUCUCCCCUG